GGCGACUGCAGGACUUGGCCACUCAGCUGCAGGAGAAACACCACCGCAUCUCAUUGGAGUACUCCGAGCUCCAGGAUAAAGUGACAUCGGCAGAGACCAAGGUGCUGGAGAUGGAGACAACAGUGGAGGACUUGCAGUGGGACAUCGAGAAGCUGCGGAAGCGAGAGCAAAAGCUCAAUAAGCACCUGGCAGAGGCCUUAGAGCAGCUUAACUCUGGCUACUAUGUAUCUGGGAGCUCCUCAGGCUUCCAGGGGGGCCAGAUCACACUCAGCAUGCAGAAGUUUGAGAUGCUGAAUGCAGAGUUAGAGGAAAACCAGGAACUGGCCAACAGCCGCAUGGCAGAGCUGGAGAAACUGCAGGCCGAACUUCAGGGGGCUGUGCGGACCAAUGAGCGCCUCAAGGUGGCCCUGCGGAGCCUUCCUGAGGAGGUAGUGCGGGAGACGGGGGAGUACCGCAUGCUGCAGGCCCAAUUCUCACUGCUCUACAACGAGUCUCUGCAAGUGAAGACCCAGCUAGACGAGGCUCGGGGCCUGCUACUGGCCACAAAGAACUCCCACCUGCGACACAUCGAGCACAUGGAGGUAUGGCCCUGGAACAGGCGUUAGGGCUGGGCUAAGGGCCAAACCGUUAGUGUUGACGUGUUUGUGCCUUCCGAGGCCCUGUGUGCCAGCCAGGGGUCCCUGGGGAAUAGAUUCUUCCUAAGAUACUGAGUCCUGAGGUGGGACCGAGGGGCUGUGUGGGUCCUUAACACAUCAACCCACAGAGCGACGAGCUGGGGCUGCAGAAGAAGCUACGCACAGAGGUCAUU
RNAcentral lists this small RNA (808 nucleotides) under Pan troglodytes (chimpanzee). Its description in RNAcentral is "retained intron". Lineage: Eukaryota; Metazoa; Chordata; Mammalia; Primates; Hominidae. The record is from RNAcentral.